Molecule: ribosomal RNA, 1367 nt
Filed under: uncultured bacterium
Lineage: Bacteria
Description: bacterial SSU rRNA
Rfam family: Bacterial small subunit ribosomal RNA
Source: RNAcentral
AGAGUUUGAUCCUGGCUCAGGACGAACGCUGGCGGCGCGCCUAACACAUGCAAGUCGAACGAGCGAGAGAGAGCUUGCUUUCUCAAGCGAGUGGCGAACGGGUGAGUAACGCGUGAGGAACCUGCCUCAAAGAGGGGGACAACAGUUGGAAACGACUGCUAAUACCGCAUAAGCCCACAGCUCGGCAUCGAGCAGAGGGAAAAGGAGCAAUCCGCUUUGAGAUGGCCUCGCGUCCGAUUAGCUAGUUGGUGAGGUAACGGCCCACCAAGGCGACGAUCGGUAGCCGGACUGAGAGGUUGAACGGCCACAUUGGGACUGAGACACGGCCCAGACUCCUACGGGAGGCAGCAGUGGGGAAUAUUGCACAAUGGGGGAAACCCUGAUGCAGCGACGCCGCGUGGAGGAAGAAGGUCUUCGGAUUGUAAACUCCUGUUGUUGAGGAAGAUAAUGACGGUACUCAACAAGGAAGUGACGGCUAACUACGUGCCAGCAGCCGCGGUAAAACGUAGGUCACAAGCGUUGUCCGGAAUUACUGGGUGUAAAGGGAGCGCAGGCGGGAAGACAAGUUGGAAGUGAAAUCUAUGGGCUCAACCCAUAAACUGCUUUCAAAACUGUUUUCUUGAGUAGUGCAGAGGUAGGCGGAAUUCCCGGUGUAGCGGUGGAAUGCGUAGAUAUCGGGAGGAACACCAGUGGCGAAGGCGGCCUACUGGGCACCAACUGACGCUGAGGCUCGAAAGUGUGGGUAGCAAACAGGAUUAGAUACCCUGGUAGUCCACACCGUAAACGAUGAUUACUAGGUGUUGGAGGAUUGACCCCUUCAGUGCCGCAGUUAACACAAUAAGUAAUCCACCUGGGGAGUACGACCGCAAGGUUGAAACUCAAAGGAAUUGACGGGGGCCCGCACAAGCAGUGGAGUAUGUGGUUUAAUUCGACGCAACGCGAAGAACCUUACCAAGUCUUGACAUCCCUUGACGAACAUAGAAAUAUGUUUUCUCUUCGGAGCAAGGAGACAGGUGGUGCAUGGUUGUCGUCAGCUCGUGUCGUGAGAUGUUGGGUUAAGUCCCGCAACGAGCGCAACCCUUACUGUCAGUUACUACGCAAGAGGACUCUGGCAGGACUGCCGUUGACAAAACGGAGGAAGGUGGGGAUGACGUCAAAUCAUCAUGCCCUUUAUGACUUGGGCUACACACGUACUACAAUGGCGUUAAACAAAGAGAAGCAAGACCGCGAGGUGGAGCAAAACUCAGAAACAACGUCCCAGUUCGGACUGCAGGCUGCAACUCGCCUGCACGAAGUCGGAAUUGCUAGUAAUCGUGGAUCAGCAUGCCACGGUGAAUACGUUCCCGGGCCUGUACACACCGCCCGUC